This 371-nucleotide ribosomal RNA is filed under the name uncultured organism. RNAcentral describes it as "partial 16S ribosomal RNA". It matches the Rfam family "Bacterial small subunit ribosomal RNA", at positions 527 to 896 of the family's 1533-position model. The record is from RNAcentral.
GUAGGUGGCAAGCGUUGUCCGGAAUUAUUGGGCGUAAAGCGCGCGCAGGCGGUUCUUUAAGUCUGAUGUGAAAGCCCACGGCUCAACCGUGGAGGGUCAUUGGAAACUGGAGAACUUGAGUACAGAAGAGGAAAGCGGAAUUCCACGUGUAGCGGUGAAAUGCGUAGAGAUGUGGAGGAACACCAGUGGCGAAGGCGGCUUUCUGGUCUGUAACUGACGCUGAGGCGCGAGAGCGUGGGGGAGCAAACAGGAUUAGAUACCCUGGUAGUCCACGCCGUAAACGAUGAGUGCUAAGUGUUAGGGGGUUUCCGCCCCUUAGUGCUGCAGCUAACGCAUUAAGCACUCCGCCUGGGAGUACGACCGCAAGGUUG